GACGGAGGGUGCAAGCGUUGUUCGGAUUUACUGGGCGUAAAGGGCGUGUAGGCGGUCGGCCAAGUCUGACGUGAAAGCCCGAGGCUCAGCCUCGGAAGUGCGUCGGAAACUAGUCGGCUGGAGCGCGAUAGAGGAGGGUGGAAUUCCUGGUGUAGCGGUGAAAUGCGUAGAUAUCAGGAGGAACACCGGCGGCGAAGGCGGCCCUCUGGAUCGUUGCUGACGCUGAGACGCGAAAGCGUGGGGAGCAAACAGG
RNAcentral lists this ribosomal RNA (253 nucleotides) under uncultured bacterium. Its description in RNAcentral is "partial 16S ribosomal RNA". It matches the Rfam family "Bacterial small subunit ribosomal RNA", at positions 524 to 776 of the family's 1533-position model. The record is from RNAcentral.